UAGGGAAUAUUGGUAAUGUGCGAAAGCGCGAACCAGCAACGCCGCGUGCGCGAUGAAGGCCUUCGGGUUGUAAAGCGCUUUUUAUGGGGAUGAGGAAGGACAGUACUCAUAGAAUAAGCCUCGGCUAACUACGUGCCAGCAGCCGCGGUAAAACGUAGGAGGCGAGCGUUAUCCGGAUUUACGGGGCGUAAAGCGUGUGUAGGCGGUUUGAUAAGUUGGAUGUGAAAGCUCCUGGCUUAACUGGGAGAGGUCGUUCAAAACUAUCAGACUUGAGAGUGGUAGAGGGAGGUGGAAGUCCGGGUGUAGUGGUGAAAUGCGUAGAUAUCCGGAGGAGCACCAGUGGCGAAAGCGGCCUCCUGGCCCAUUUCUGACGCUCAGACACGAAAGCUAAGGUAGCAAACGG
Molecule: ribosomal RNA, 403 nt
Filed under: uncultured bacterium
Lineage: Bacteria
Description: bacterial SSU rRNA
Rfam family: Bacterial small subunit ribosomal RNA
Source: RNAcentral